GCUCUCGGGCAUCGGUUUCUCCCAGCAAAGCUUGGAGGGUUUAGCUGCGCGGAGAGCUCAGCGAGCUCUUCUGUGUCUGUUUGGGGCGUGUGGGCUCCGGGAGCGUGAGGACCGGGAAGCUAGGAGGCUCCUUCCCUUCUGGCGGCUCCCUCACUGAGACCGGGCGGUUUGGUUGCGGGGGAAGUGGAGACGAGCCACCCUUGACCUUUGACUGCAAGAACUCACCUUGAGCAGGAUAGAGCAAACAUUGAGUGGGCCAGACACUGUUCUGAAAAAUACGCAGUCGACUUUUGAACAGCACAGGCUUGAACUGCAUGCGGCCACUAAUACUCGGACUUCCUUCUGCCUCUGCCAUCCCUAAGACAGCAAGACCCACCCCUCCUGCUCCUCAGCCUACUCGAUGUGAUGAUGAUGAGGAAACUGAGGCCUGGGACCUGAUGUGAGUUGUUCAGGUGGCCAAGGGAGGAACUGAACACAGAUUUGUGUGACUCCAAAACCCAAGUAUUUGGGCUGUUUUUUUCUCCUUUUGGUUUGUCACUUAUAACUUGCCUGUCCCACAUGUGGCCAUGACUCUGACUUUCAGUUCACCUGUGUCCCUGUGCCCAAACCUUUGCUUUGUCAGCCUCCCCCAUUAGACUAUGAGGUGCUUGAGGACAGGGGAAGGUGUCACCUGUCUCCACAUUCCAUUGAAAAAACUGGAUAACACUGAAAGAGGUUGUGUGCUGCAAAGAGCACUGGGCUGGGAGUCUGAACCCUGCCGGCAGGUGAGGCUCCUUCU
RNAcentral lists this long non-coding RNA (778 nucleotides) under Homo sapiens (human). RNAcentral's name for it is "non-protein coding STX18-AS1:18". Lineage: Eukaryota; Metazoa; Chordata; Mammalia; Primates; Hominidae. The record is from RNAcentral.